Molecule: ribosomal RNA, 264 nt
Filed under: uncultured bacterium
Lineage: Bacteria
Description: partial 16S ribosomal RNA
Rfam family: Bacterial small subunit ribosomal RNA
Source: RNAcentral
ACGAACGCUGGCGGCGUGCUUAACACAUGCAAGUCGAACGAUUAAAGCUCACUUCGGUGAGUGUAUAGAGUGGCGAACGGGUGAGUAACACGUGGGAAACCUGCCCCUUUCUUCGGGAUAACUUCGGGAAACCGUUGCUAAUACCGGAUACUCCGGGAUGGUCGCAUGGCCGACCCGGGAAAGCUUUAUGUGGAAAGGGAUGGUCCCGCGGCCCAUUAGCUUGUUGGUGGGGUAAUGGCCUACCAAGGCGAUGAUGGGUAGCCG